GCCUCAGUAACGGCGAGUNAAGCGGCAAUAGCUCAAAUUUGAAAUCUGGCUCUUUUAGAGUCCGAGUUGUAAUUUGUAGAAGAUGCUUCGGCUUAUGCUCCGGUCUAAGUUCCUUGGAACAGGACGUCACAGAGGGUGAGAAUCCCGUUUGUGGCCGGUAGUUUUUGCCAUGUGAAGCUCCUUCGACGAGUCGAGUUGUUUGGGAAUGCAGCUCUAAAUGGGAGGUAAAUUUCUUCUAAAGCUAAAUAUUGGCCAGAGACCGAUAGCGCACAAGUAGAGUGAUCGAAAGAUGAAAAGCACUUUGGAAAGAGAGUUAAAAAGUACGUGAAAUUGUUGAAAGGGAAGCGCUUGCGACCAGACUUGUCUUCAGUUGUUCCGCCGGUCCUCUCGACCGGUGUAUUCUUCUGUUGUCAGGCCAGCAUCAGUUUGGGUGGUUGGAUAAAGGCAUUGGGAAUGUGACUUCUUUCGGGAAGUGUUAUAGCCCUUUGUGUAAUACAGCCUACCUAGACUGAGGACCGCGCUUCGGCUAGGAUGCUGGCGUAAUGGUCGUAAGCGGCCCGUCUUG
Molecule: ribosomal RNA, 565 nt
Filed under: Thaxteriella helicoma
Lineage: Eukaryota; Fungi; Ascomycota; Dothideomycetes; Tubeufiales; Tubeufiaceae
Description: eukaryotic LSU rRNA
Rfam family: Eukaryotic large subunit ribosomal RNA
Source: RNAcentral